GCGGCUGCACAUUGUGGAUUGCUCGGGGAUUCCCGGAUCUCCCUGCGUGCCAGUGCGCUGCGCCCCG
This 67-nucleotide unclassified non-coding RNA is filed under the name Drosophila melanogaster (fruit fly). Its description in RNAcentral is "partial miscellaneous RNA". Lineage: Eukaryota; Metazoa; Arthropoda; Insecta; Diptera; Drosophilidae. The record is from RNAcentral.